RNAcentral lists this long non-coding RNA (1114 nucleotides) under Taeniopygia guttata (zebra finch). RNAcentral describes it as "lncRNA (ENSTGUG00000029475.1)". Lineage: Eukaryota; Metazoa; Chordata; Aves; Passeriformes; Estrildidae. The record is from RNAcentral.
UACUUAAUUUAUUCCUUUACUUAUUUUUAGCUGAAAUUCACUAUUAAUAGAGCAAGCUUUAUACUAGCUUCAGUAACAAUUUAAUCAAGGCAUAUUCAUAACUAAUUGAUUAUUUUGUAACUGAGCCAUUACAUAGCAAAAGUUCAAACAUAACUUUCACUUUCUGGCUUCUAAUUGAAGAUUUAUAAUGAAACUGUAUAUAACACGUUUAGCAAUUAAUUAAAAAUGCUGAACUCAGAAUUGCUACUGUGCCAUCCUGUACCACUGCCUGUUUUAACUGCACUGUACACUGCUUUUCAGUCAAGUAAACAAUUGCUCUUUCAAGUGACAAAAAUGCAUGCCUGCUCUCAAGGAGAUAUGCAUUUUACUGCAUCAUUAAAGAAAAAUGUACAGUCUGUGAUAUCAAAAGACUAGCAGCAUGAAAAAAAUCAACACUUAGUUGUAGAAGAAUGUACAAAUGAUCAAAAAAAAUUUCUCUUUAACAGCAAUACAUUAAUAGAGAUCCCAAAAAGACCUGGGACAUGCCACAUUUCAGAAAGCUCUACACAAACCCUCUACUCAAGAAUGAAUAAAAGACUCCUCCCACCAGCUAGGGCAAACCAAAACAGCCCAAGAUGUUUUUAAUGAUGAUUCUCCACAAAGCCCAGAAAAUCAGCAGGUGAGUCUUUCUGCAAGAAUAAAUGUCAAAUAAAAACAAAGGUUUUAAGCCAAUACUUUUUUUGGUCUUUUCUAUAGAUGGUCUAUGAGAAACUUUUUACUUCACCUUCCUCCAGUGAGAUCAUCCUCUAUUACUACAGAAAUUAAUGUGAUGUUAAAAAUAAGGAUGGUGAGGCUAUACUCUAUGAUCAGAUGAGGAAAAAAGACUGAGAGAGUGUAGAUUUUCUCACACAGAUAAUUAUGAAAUACUAAUGAAACACAAGAAAUAUAUUAUACAUCUGCUUUAUUAGAUUUAAAUCAUUUGCAUAUCCCUUUUUCUUUACUUUGUGCACAUCCACUCGAGCUUAUUUUAGUAAGACAUUUGAACUCCAUCUGGUGCAUGUUUUUGGGUCUUACCACCAUGCUUGUCAUUUUAACAGUGCUUUUUCAUUUCCAUGUGAUUUCCAACAUACAAAAU